RNAcentral lists this ribosomal RNA (465 nucleotides) under uncultured bacterium. RNAcentral describes it as "partial 16S ribosomal RNA". It matches the Rfam family "Bacterial small subunit ribosomal RNA", at positions 338 to 795 of the family's 1533-position model. The record is from RNAcentral.
CCUACGGGUGGCAGCAGUAGGGAAUCUUCCACAAUGGACGAAAGUCUGAUGCAGCAACGCCGCGUGAGUGAAGAAGGCCUUCGGCUCGUAAAGCUCUGUUGGUAGUGAAGAAAAAUAGAGGUAGUAACUGGCCUUUAUUUGACGGUAUUUACUUAGACAGUCACGGCUAACUACGUGCCAGCAGCCGCGGUAAUACGUAGGUGGCAAGCGUUGUCCGGAUUUAUUGGGCGUAAAGCGAGUGCAGGCGGUUGGAUAAGUCUGAUGUGAAAUCCUUCGGCUCAACCGGAGAAUUGCAUCAGAAACUGUUGAACUUGAGUGCAGAAGAGGAGAGUGGAACUCCAUGUGUAGCGGUGGAAUGCGUAGAUAUAAGGAAGAACACCAGUGGCGAAGGCGGCUCACUGGACUGCAACUGACGCUGAGGCUCGAAAGCAUGGGUAGCGAACAGGAUUAGAUACCCCAGUAGUC